Molecule: ribosomal RNA, 448 nt
Filed under: uncultured bacterium
Lineage: Bacteria
Description: bacterial SSU rRNA
Rfam family: Bacterial small subunit ribosomal RNA
Source: RNAcentral
UGGGGAAUAUUGGACAAUGGGCGCAAGCCUGAUCCAGCCAUGCCGCGUGAGUGACGAAGGUCUUCGGAUUGUAAAGCUCUUUUUACCAGGGACGAUAAUGACGGUACCUGGAGAAUAAGCCCCGGCUAACUUCGUGCCAGCAGCCGCGGUAAUACGAAGGGGGCUAGCGUUGUUCGGAAUUACUGGGCGUAAAGCGCACGUAGGCGGAUUUGUAAGUCAGGGGUGAAAUCCCGGGGCUCAACCUCGGAACUGCCUUUGAUACUGCAAGUCUCGAGUCCGAUAGAGGUGAGUGGAAUUCCUAGUGUAGCGGUGAAAUGCGUAGAUAUCAAGAGGAACACCUGAGGUGAAGACGGGUUGCUGGGCUGACACUGACGCUGAGGCGCGAAAGCCAGGGGAGCAAACGGGAUUAGAUACCCGCGUAGUCCCUGAGCGGGCUGGCAAGGCGCAU